UUGGAGGGCAAGUCUGGUGCCAGCAGCCGCGGUAAUUCCAGCUCCAAUAGCGUAUAUUAAAGUUGUUGCAGUUAAAAAGCUCGUAGUUGAAUUUCGGGAUCAAUGUUUCGGUCAUGCCGUUGGUAUGUACUGAUAUUAUUGGUUUCUCACCUUUUAAAGAACCGUAAUGCCAUUAAUUUGGUGUCACGGGGAAUUAGGACUGUUACCUUGAAAAAAUUAGAGUGUUUAAAGCAGGCUCACGCUUGAAUACAUUAGCAUGGAAUAAUGAAAUAGGACAUCCGAUUCUAUUUUGUUGGUUUCUAGGAUCGAUGUAAUGAUUAAUAGGGAUAGUUGGGGGCAUUAGUAUUCAAUUGUCAGAGGUGAAAUUCUUGGAUUUAUUGAAGACUAACUACUGCGAAAGCAUUUGCCAAGGAUGUUUUCAUUAAUCAAGAACGAAAGUUAGGGGAUCGAAGACGAUCAGAUACCGUCGUAGUCUUAACCAUAAACUAUGCCGACUAGGGAUCGGAUGAUGUUAAUUUUUUAAUGACUCAUUCGGCGCCUUACGGGAAAC
Molecule: ribosomal RNA, 550 nt
Filed under: uncultured Funneliformis
Lineage: Eukaryota; Fungi; Glomeromycota; Glomeromycetes; Glomerales; Glomeraceae
Description: SSU rRNA
Rfam family: Eukaryotic small subunit ribosomal RNA
Source: RNAcentral